AGGACGAACGCUGGCGGCGUGCUUAACACAUGCAAGUCGAGCGGAAAGGCCCUUCGGGGUACUCGAGCGGCGAACGGGUGAGUAACACGUGAGCAACCUGCCCCUAGCUCUGGGAUAGCUCCGGGAAACCGGGAUUAAUACCAGAUACGACCACUUUAGACAUCUGCUGUGGUGGAAAGGAUUCCGGCUAGGGAUGGGCUCGCGGCCUAUCAGCUUGUUGGUGGGGUGACGGCCUACCAAGGCGACGACGGGUA
RNAcentral lists this ribosomal RNA (254 nucleotides) under uncultured bacterium. Its description in RNAcentral is "partial small subunit ribosomal RNA". It matches the Rfam family "Bacterial small subunit ribosomal RNA", at positions 26 to 285 of the family's 1533-position model. The record is from RNAcentral.